GAGGCGUGGCUUCCGGAGCUAACGCGUUAAGUCGACCGCCUGGGGAGUACGGCCGCAAGGUUAAAACUCAAAUGAAUUGACGGGGGCCCGCACAAGCGGUGGAGCAUGUGGUUUAAUUCGAUGCAACGCGAAGAACCUUACCUACUCUUGACAUCCAGAGAACUUAGCAGAGAUGCUUUGGUGCCUUCGGGAACUCUGAGACAGGUGCUGCAUGGCUGUCGUCAGCUCGUGUUGUGAAAUGUUGGGUUAAGUCCCGCAACGAGCGCAACCCUUAUCCUUUGUUGCCAGCGGUCCGGCCGGGAACUCAAAGGAGACUGCCAGUGAUAAACUGGAGGAAGGUGGGGAUGACGUCAAGUCAUCAUGGCCCUUACGAGUAGGGCUACACACGUGCUACAAUGGCGCAUACAAAGAGAAGCGACCUCGCGAGAGCAAGCGGACCUCAUAAAGUGCGUCGUAGUCCGGAUUGGAGUCUGCAACUCGACUCCAUGAAGUCGGAAUCGCUAGUAAUCGUAGAUCAGAAUGCUACGGUGAAUACGUUCCCGGGCCUUGUACUCCCCG
RNAcentral lists this ribosomal RNA (558 nucleotides) under Enterobacterales bacterium. RNAcentral describes it as "bacterial SSU rRNA". It matches the Rfam family "Bacterial small subunit ribosomal RNA", at positions 834 to 1392 of the family's 1533-position model. Lineage: Bacteria; Pseudomonadati; Pseudomonadota; Gammaproteobacteria; Enterobacterales. The record is from RNAcentral.